GGAGUAGUGAAUAAAUCGUUCAGACUGGUUUUGUGAACCCAAACCGAAAAGAUCCGACUCAAAAGAACCAUGCAUUAUGCACCAUGUGUUGGAGACUCAGAGUGAAUACAAAAUGAUUCGUGUAUAAGAAUGAAAAUUUAGGAAAUACCAUAAUUACAUGUGAGGAUAACGGAGACGAGACGAUGUCCGCUCUUCAACUAACGGAUGAGAUCUGGAUCCACAUUUUUGGAUUUUUCUCUGUUCGUGACAAAUUGAGUGUUCGUUUAACUUGCACGUACUUUAAAAGAUUAAUCGACCAUUGGAGCUUAUGGAAAGGCAGCGUUGUUGUCCUCCAAAAGUUCGAACUCUACGACACACAUUUUUGGAAAACUCUGCGCCAAAGAAAAACCAAGUCCAUUGUUGUUCAAAAGGCAAAUGCAAAAGGAUUGCGACACAUUGUGACUGCGCUUCCGUGGAUCAGUUCCGUGACUCUGGCUCAGUGCAGUGAUGGCAAAGCUCUGGCAGAGUUGGGUGCUUUAAAACAACUCGAGAAGCUUGUCAUCCGUCAAUGUUGCUGUCGGAGUCUGACCAGCUCACUUUUAUCUUUGAGACAACUGACUCAUCUCUGCUUAUGUGAGGUCCAGAAAGCUUCAGUAUCGGAGAUAAGUGCUGCUACUUCGCAACUUGUCAAGCUUACCUCACUACACUACCAUGAAGAUAAAAAUCCUAUCUUUAAACCUGUCCUUCAUGGCAUGUUGAAGCGUCUGCCCAAAUUGAAACACCUUUCCUUGAGAUUGGGACCAAAGUAUGGGAUUCUUCCUGAUGAUUAUUUUUGCCCAAUUAAAGCAUGUGGGCGUCCUGGAGUUAGUCCGGAUUCAGAGUUCGGAUUGAGCAGUCUGGAGCUGCUGAACUGCUAUGACCCCUGCCUCUCCCUGUUGCCUUUGACGCCCUGUCCUCCCUUACUAAACUGACGGUGCAUUAUAAACAAUGGUGUGAGGAUCCAACCCGUUGCCGUCUCACAAAAUGGUUGCAAGGGCUUCAUGUACUCUCAGAGCUCAAUAUUUCUUUAGGAUACCCGCUCGGAUUCUAUGCUAAAUCAAUACCCAGGACUGUGCGGCAUUUGUCUCUCAUGGGAGUGAGGGCAGAUUUGAAGGCAGUAAGGAUCAUGGCAGAGCAGGUGCCAGAUCUCCUUCACCUCCACUUGGACUUGUGUUGUCAUGACAUCUGCAAUAUAAUCAAAGAAAUUCCUCAGAUGUUCCCAAAGCUGCAGGUCCUAAAAGUGAGACACCAAAAUGUUCCAGCAUCAUUGUUUCUUGAGCUUCACCAUCUGCCUGGACUUCAGCAGUUAGUGAUUUUGGAUGCACCCCAAGGCAGUCCUACGGUACAAGAUCUGAAACGAAAACUUGAUGACCAAACAAACAAUAAAAUCCAUGUGCUUCAUUCCAAUUCAAGGGACCAAACAACUUGUUCUUGUGGUUUUAAUUGAUACACUUCAUUGUUUCUUAUGUGCAACUUGAUGAUUUCAGACAUAUACAGAUGCUCAUGCCUUUUAUACAGUUUUUGUAAUAUAGAGGAACAUGUAUGUGAAAGAUGGAAAAUGGACUUAAAUUGUAAAUAGUGGAUUAGUGGACAUUUGUUACAUUGUCAAUGAUAUU
Non-coding RNA from Pimephales promelas (fathead minnow), 1634 nucleotides. NCBI's taxonomy places the organism in Eukaryota, Metazoa, Chordata, Actinopteri, Cypriniformes, Leuciscidae. The record is from RefSeq and is a predicted model, not a curated record.